GGGGAAGAAAGAUGAGAUGGGGAGGAGGAAAAUGGAGGAGGAGAAUGAAGAGGUGGAGGAGAAUAGAUAAGGAAGUGGGAAAGAGGAAAAGGACAGUAAAGGAGAAGGUAGAGGAUGAGGAGGCGGAGAACAGCGGGGGAGGAUGGAGGAUUGGGACGAUAGAGAAGAGGGCGGAUUGAGGAGGACGAGGAUGGAUGACGUGAAUGGAGGAGGAUCCAAGGGGGAGUAUGAUGGAGGAGGAUGGAGAAGGAGGAGGAGGAUGGAGGAGGAGGAGGGUUAGGAUGUGGACAUAGGAGGAGAAUGCAAGAGGAGGAGGGAGGACUGAUGAGCAAGGAGAGGGAGGAUGAGAUGGAUGCAGGAGGAGGACUGAGGAGCAGGAGGAGGAUGGAAGAAGGAGGAGGAGGAAGAUGUAGAAGGAGGAAGAAGGAUGCAGAUGGAGGGGAAAGAGGAGAAGCAGGAUGGAGGAGUGAUGACAGACAUGGUGAGGAUAGAGAAAAAGGAGAAUAAUACGGAUAGAGGCAGAGGAGGAGAUUUUGGAGCAGGAGAAUGAAGAGGAGAAGGAGGAUGGAACUGGAGGAGGGUGGAAGAGGUUGGAGUAGAUUUAGGAGGAGGAGAGGGAGAAGGAAGAUAGAGAAGGAUGGAGGAGAGAGAUCCAGAAGGAGUAAGAAAGAGGUGGCUGGGCAGGAGGGAGGAGGAUGGUGAGGUGGGAGGAGGAGGAGAUUAAGGAGGAGGAGGAAGAGGGAGGAGGAGAAGGAUGGAGGAGUAGGAGGAAGAAUGAUGGAGGACGAGGAUAGAGGAAGAUCAGAGGUCCCAGGGCAGGCAGUGAGGGGCCAGGAUGGAUCCUAGUGGAGGUUGUACCCCUAUGAGCCCCGGGUCUGGUCGUCAGACUGAGAAGCACAGGGAAGCUGAGUGAGGGGUGUAUGGGAACCUGCUGUACCAGUUUUUAAUUCAAGGUAAGAGGUUUGAAACGACAAUAUAGGUCUUCUCCACCCACGGCUCCCAAGCAGAGGGAGAGGAGGAGGGAAGUACACUGAGGGCUCUGGGGACAGGGAUUGUCCAGCCAGACAGCGGGCAUGUGCACCCAGGUCCACUGCUCACACGCUAGCACCUGCCCCACCUAUCCUGUCCCUGCUUGGUGACAGGACCCUCUACCAGAGGCCCUUAGCCAUCAGGGAUUAAAGGCUAAGUCAGGCCUGGCUCCACUGACCUGCACAUUGACCCAGAAGCCCCAUUGUUGGGUGGAAUGGCAAUGCUCUGAAGUUCCGCUCGCUGCCCGGCAUUCUCUGCUCUGGUCCAUAGCAGCUGAAGGCAGUUGUGCCCUCUGUGAGCAAAUCUGCCAUCUCACACUGCCCAAUUCCAUGUGAGUGUUGUGUUCCUACAGGAGGCGCGGCUCGGAGAGCAGUUGGAGGCACUCGUGCCCUCUGUGAGCGGCUCUGCCGUCUCGCACUGCCCACCUCGACGCGAGUGUCGAGUUCGUGGAGGAGGCGCAGCUCGCGCCCGCGACUGGUCAGUCAGGUGAGCGUGACUUUGGGGACAGUGGCCGCCAGGGGUGGUGCCACGGGCCUCCCUUGGCUGUAGGCGAGGUGACACCGAGCCCCGAGCCCCGAUGGAGAGCCGGGCUCAGACAGCCGUCCCCGGUCCAUGGGGUGAGGGUGCUGCUCGCAUUGCCCCUGCCCGUGGGAGGAGGCUGGGG
RNAcentral lists this long non-coding RNA (1693 nucleotides) under Equus caballus (horse). Its description in RNAcentral is "lncRNA (ENSECAG00000052124.1)". The record is from RNAcentral. Lineage: Eukaryota; Metazoa; Chordata; Mammalia; Perissodactyla; Equidae.